This 503-nucleotide ribosomal RNA is filed under the name uncultured Glomus. RNAcentral's name for it is "SSU rRNA". It matches the Rfam family "Eukaryotic small subunit ribosomal RNA", at positions 569 to 1079 of the family's 1831-position model. The record is from RNAcentral. Lineage: Eukaryota; Fungi; Glomeromycota; Glomeromycetes; Glomerales; Glomeraceae.
AGCAGCCGCGGUAAUUCCAGCUCCAAUAGCGUAUAUUAAAGUUGUUGCAGUUAAAAAGCUCGUAGUUGAAUUUCGGGGUUAGCAGGUCGGUCGUGCCAUCGGUAUGAACUGGUCUCGCUGAUCCCUCCCUCUUGACGAACUGUGAUGCCAUUAAUUUGGUGUCGCAGGGAAUCAGGACUGUUACUUUGAAAAAUUAGAGUGUUUAAAGCAGGCUCACGCUUGAAUACAUUAGCAUGGAAUAAUGAAAUAGGACGUUUGAUCCUAUUUUGUUGGCUUCUAGGAUUGACGUAAUGAUUAAUAGGGAUAGUUGGGGCAUUAGUAUUCAAUUGUCAGAGGUGAAAUUCUUGGAUUUAUUGAAGACUAACUACUGCGAAAGCAUUGCCAAGGAUGUUUUCAUUAAUCAAGAACGAAAGUUAGGGGAUCGAAGACGAUCAGAUACCGUCGUAGUCUUUAACCAUAAACUAUGCCGACUAGGGAUCGGAUGAUGUUAAUUUUUAAUGUAC